This 406-nucleotide ribosomal RNA is filed under the name uncultured bacterium. RNAcentral describes it as "bacterial SSU rRNA". It matches the Rfam family "Bacterial small subunit ribosomal RNA", at positions 971 to 1381 of the family's 1533-position model. The record is from RNAcentral.
AUCCCUUGACAUCCUGCGAACUUUCUAGAGAUAGAUUGGUGCCUUCGGGAACGCAGUGACAGGUGCUGCAUGGCUGUCGUCAGCUCGUGCUGUGAAGUGUUCGGUUAAGUCCGGCAACGAGCGCAACCCACGUUGUUAGUUGCUACCAAGUAAUGUUGGGCACUCUAGCAAGACUGCCCGUGUCAAGCGGGAGGAAGGCGUGGAUGACGUCAAGUCCGUAUGGCCUUUAUAUCCAGGGCUGCACACGUGCUACAAUGGUCGGUACAAUGGGUCGCAAUACCGCGAGGUGGAGCUAAUCCUCAAAACCGUCCUUAGUUCGGAUUGUAGUCUGCAACUCGACUACAUGAAGUUGGAAUCGCUAGUAAAGGCGCAUCAGCUACGGCGCCUUGAAUACGUUCCCGGGCCU